CAAUAGCGUAUAUUAAAGUUGUUGCGGUAAAAAAGCUCGUAGUUGGAUUUCUACCGAAGAUAGCCGGUCGGGUCUUCGACCUUGUAUCUGGUUUUGUCUUUGGUACCCUCAUAGGGAACGUUUCUGCGCUUUAUUGCGUGGUGCGGUAUCUAUGACCUUUACUUUGAGGAAAUUAGAGUGUUCACGGCAGGCAAACGCCUUGAAUAUAUUAGCAUGGAAUAAUAACACAGGAUCUUCGUCCUAUUUUGUUGGUUUCUAGGGCUAAGAUAAUGAUUAAUAGGGAUAAUUGGGGGCAUCUGUAUCAACGCGUCAGAGGUGGAAUUCUUGGAUUGCGUUGCGACAAACUACUGCGAAAGCAUUUGCCAAGGAUGUUUUCAUUGA
Molecule: ribosomal RNA, 381 nt
Filed under: uncultured eukaryote
Lineage: Eukaryota
Description: partial 18S ribosomal RNA
Rfam family: Eukaryotic small subunit ribosomal RNA
Source: RNAcentral